Molecule: ribosomal RNA, 548 nt
Filed under: uncultured Glomeromycotina
Lineage: Eukaryota; Fungi; Glomeromycota
Description: SSU rRNA
Rfam family: Eukaryotic small subunit ribosomal RNA
Source: RNAcentral
UUGGAGGGCAAGUCUGGUGCCAGCAGCCGCGGUAAUUCCAGCUCCAAUAGCGUAUAUUAAAGUUGUUGCAGUUAAAAAGCUCGUAGUUGAAUUUCGGGGUCAGCAGGUUGGUCGUGCCACUGGUAUGAACUGGCCUUGCUGAUUCCUCCUUCUUGAAGAACCGUGAUGCCAUUAAUUUGGUGUUGCGGGGAAACAGGACUGUUACUUUGAAAAAAUUAGAGUGUUUAAAGCAGGCUCACGCUUGAAUACAUUAGCAUGGAAUAAUAAAAUAGGACGUUUAUCCUAUUUUGUUGGUUUCUAGGGUUGACGUAAUGAUUAAUAGGGAUAGUUGGGGGCAUUAGUAUUCAAUUGUCAGAGGUGAAAUUCUUGGAUUUAUUGAAGACUAACUACUGCGAAAGCAUUUGCCAAGGAUGUUUUCAUUAAUCAAGAACGAAAGUUAGGGGAUCGAAGACGAUCAGAUACCGUCGUAGUCUUAWCCAUAAACUAUGCCGACUAGGGAUCGGAUGAUGUUAAUUUUUUAAUGACCCAUUCGGCGCCUUACGGGAAAC